RNAcentral lists this non-coding RNA (26 nucleotides) under Homo sapiens (human). Lineage: Eukaryota; Metazoa; Chordata; Mammalia; Primates; Hominidae. The record is from RNAcentral.
UGACGUUGUUGAUGUUGUCAGGCCCC